GACCCUUAGCGACAAUGUCCCACCUACAUUCAGGAUCAGUCGUAAAAGGACGCAUGCAAGCAGCACCAUGAUGCCCCUGGACACUGAUGAGGACCACUCCUAUAACAAGAGGCCUUACAGCUUCCUUCCUAAAGAGUCGUGAGAUGGAACUUUGUUCUCAUGACCUCGCCAAGAACAUGAGUGAG
Gymnodraco acuticeps is the source of this 185-nucleotide long non-coding RNA. RefSeq lists it as uncharacterized. NCBI's taxonomy places the organism in Eukaryota, Metazoa, Chordata, Actinopteri, Perciformes, Bathydraconidae. The transcript has 3 exons. The record is from RefSeq and is a predicted model, not a curated record.